GACGUUGAAGACGACGACGUUGAUAGGCCGGGUGUGUAAGCGCAGCGAUGCGUUGAGCUAACCGGUACUAAUGACCCGUGAGGCUUAACCUU
Non-coding RNA from Pantoea sp., 92 nucleotides. The record is from Rfam. NCBI's taxonomy places the organism in Bacteria, Pseudomonadati, Pseudomonadota, Gammaproteobacteria, Enterobacterales, Erwiniaceae.